This 254-nucleotide ribosomal RNA is filed under the name uncultured bacterium. Its description in RNAcentral is "partial 16S ribosomal RNA". It matches the Rfam family "Bacterial small subunit ribosomal RNA", at positions 333 to 605 of the family's 1533-position model. The record is from RNAcentral.
UGAGUCCUACGGGGGCAGCAGUGGGGAAUAUUGCACAAUGGGGGAAACCCUGAUGCAGCGACGCCGCGUGAGCGAGGAAGUAUUUCGGUAUGUAAAGCUCUGUCAGCAGGGAAGAAAAUGACGGUACCUGACUAAGAAGCCCCGGCUAACUACGUGCCAGCAGCCGCGGUAAUACGUAGGGGGCAAGCGUUAUCCGGAUUUACUGGGUGUAAAGGGAGCGUAGACGGAAUUGCAAGUCUGAUGUGAAAAUCCGG